UGAAUGGCUCUGCAGAGCUGGACCCUAGU
RNAcentral lists this non-coding RNA (29 nucleotides) under Homo sapiens (human). The record is from RNAcentral. Lineage: Eukaryota; Metazoa; Chordata; Mammalia; Primates; Hominidae.